UACGGAAAGGGGCUUUCUUUCAUUUUCUUCCAUCGUCAAUACUCACAAGCGUGUCUUCCAUAAGUACUGUGGGCCACCGCAACGUGGGAGCGGUCACCCCGCGCUCUAAGGCUGCAGUACCAUUAGCUAGCUGUGUAACUGAAGCAAGUCGCUGGCCUCAGUUUCUUCCAUUUCAAAUAGAGAUUGACUAAUUUAGGCUAAAGUUCUGAAUUUUGAAAGUCUGAUGCUCCACAAACUUUAGUGAGAUAGCGCUUCAUUUUCUUUAAAAUUGAAACGCUAGUACCCUAUUUAUUUAUUGCAAGGUUCUGUGAUGGAGAAGUAAACAUUUUUAACUAAGUACAGAACUAGUCGUUAUCAGUUACAAUUUUUCUGUGAAGCAUCACAAUAAUCAAAUAUAUUUGUUUUUUUUAACACAUACUUACAUAUUAUCUUUGCUUUGUAUUGUUUCCUACCUUAUUAGCCUUGUCACUCUAGAUAGUCAAUCUCCCCAGAAAGAAAAACCGCUAAAUUGUUUUUCAUUUCCUUAAUGGGGUCUAGCAACACACCCAGCAUGUGCUAGAUGCUCAAAUAAACUUUGUGCAAAAUGUGUAACGUGUAGAAACUAAACCGGGCUUUCAAUCCCUCGCCUGCAACAAGAGAUGCAGUUCUGAGGACAUCUGGAAAACAAGAGAUGCAAAAUAAUACUUAUGAUCCUUUUUGCCAACAGAGAGUAAUGGCAAGAACUAUGGAUUCACUAACCGGAGCCACAGACACAGGAUGAGGAAGCACCCAAAGACACUGUAACAACACGGCUUCUCUUGCAUGAGCAAAACUAUGGACAGAGGGGUAUGAAGGUUACAAAAGUGACAAAAAAGGACUCAGGACCACAAUUCAGGCAUCAAGUAAUAGUGGCUACAGUUAUGAAUCAUUUGAAGAGGGCGAUUUUUUAAGAGGAAACUGAGCCUUUUCCACAAAUCAAACGCAGAGAAAGCGCAUGCUGCCCUGAAGUUUACCAACCACGGGAGGCCCAGCGUGGCCCUCAAAGGAGCACCACCGGACACACACUGGGAACACCAAGCCAAAUGGACUAUAAACAGACUAUCAAAAGCAAAACCAUACAAAGCUUAUUUUGUUCUUGGCAACGACAAGCAGCGUUUCUUCUUGCUCUACAACGUUAUCAGUCCACUUGAACACAACCGGAGUUUGCCUAUGUGAACUGACAUUUCUUAUUCUUGACUUCAAGUAUUUCAGCCAACUUGAAAACACAAGAGACACUAGUCGUAUUAAAAACAGUAAAGUUCAUGGACACAAGCUGCUUCUGGUCAUCAAUAUUACUGCAUAAAAUUUGUACCUGUGCCGAAAUAACAAACAUUCCCUCAUACCAAGUAAGGCAAAUCUCUGAUAUCUUUAACUUAUGAUUUAACCACUGAUAAACUGAGUUAUUUUCCUAUGUCUUAAUUCAGAGAAGAAGCUUCACCUGAUCUGAAAUCUUAGGAAGCGUUUUCAAUUUCUUUGGGAAAAUGCCUGACAGACUUCUUUUUAAUCUCCCUUUAGAUAAAGCUCUCUGAAGAUCAAAGGGGCCUCACUCAGGAAGAUGUGUUUUGCUGUCAAGGGCUAAGAGGGAAAAACAGACUUCAAGCAAACUGCUCAGAGAAUCCUUAAAUAAUUAGGCAUCAAAUGGAGAAUACAAAGUCUUCAGAAAGGUCAACGGAUAAGGAAAAGUGUGGCAUUCACACACACACAAAUUUUCUUUGGAAAACCAAACUAGGAAUAAGUCCUGACUGGAAAAACUAAAUCACAUUUAAGUAAGUAGAUAAGUUCUCCAUAAAUACUCAAAAAUACUGAAAUAUACAUAACCUAAUGCUACUUA
Molecule: long non-coding RNA, 1849 nt
Organism: Panthera uncia (snow leopard)
Lineage: Eukaryota; Metazoa; Chordata; Mammalia; Carnivora; Felidae
Exons: 2
Source: RefSeq, a predicted model, not a curated record